RNAcentral lists this microRNA (22 nucleotides) under Parasteatoda tepidariorum (common house spider). Its description in RNAcentral is "pte-miR-317-5p". Its record names the gene pte-miR-317-5p. The record is from miRBase by way of RNAcentral. Lineage: Eukaryota; Metazoa; Arthropoda; Arachnida; Araneae; Theridiidae.
CGAGAGCCUCCCUGCGUUCACA